AUUGUUUUGGCAGAAUUAAGUGCGAUAGAUUUAGGAUCUUUUAAUGUAAUUUUUUUACAUUCAAUA
Molecule: transfer RNA, 66 nt
Filed under: Dromaeolus sp. ZM-2022
Lineage: Eukaryota; Metazoa; Arthropoda; Insecta; Coleoptera; Eucnemidae
Description: tRNA-Leu
Source: RNAcentral